Molecule: ribosomal RNA, 876 nt
Filed under: uncultured archaeon
Lineage: Archaea
Description: bacterial SSU rRNA
Rfam family: Archaeal small subunit ribosomal RNA
Source: RNAcentral
UAUCGGAUUGAUACUAAGCCAUGCGAGUCAUUGUAGCAAUACAAGGCAUACGGCUCAGUAACGCGUAGUCAACCUAACCUAUGGACGGGAAUAACCUCGGGAAACUGAGAAUAAUGCCCGAUAGAACAUUAUGCCUGGAAUGGUUUAUGUUCCAAAUGAUUUAUCGCCGUAGGAUGGGACUGCGGCCUAUCAGUUUGUUGGUGAGGUAAUGGCCCACCAAGACUAUUACAGGUACGGGCUCUGAGAGGAGUAGCCCGGAGAUGGGUACUGAGACACGGACCCAGGCCCUAUGGGGCGCAGCAGGCGAGAAAACUUUGCAAUGUGCGAAAGCACGACAAGGUUAAUCCGAGUGGUUUCUGCUAAAGGAACCUUUUGUCAGUCCUAGAAACACUGAUGAAUAAGGGGUGGGCAAGUUCUGGUGUCAGCCGCCGCGGUAAAACCAGCACCUCAAGUGGUCAGGAUGAUUAUUGGGCCUAAAGCAUCCGUAGCCGGCUCUGUAAGUUUUCGGUUAAAUCUGUACGCUCAACGUACAGGCUGCCGGGAAUACUGCAAAGCUAGGGAGUGGGAGAGGUAGACGGUACUCGGUAGGAAGGGGUAAAAUCCUUUGAUCUAUUGAUGACCACCUGUGGCGAAGGCGGUCUACCAGAACACGUCCGACGGUGAGGGAUGAAAGCUGGGGUAGCAAACCGGAUUAGAUACCCGGGUAGUCCCAGCUGUAAACCAUGCAAACUCAGUGAUGCAUUGGCUUGUGGCCAAUGCAGUGCUGCAGGGAAGCCGUUAAGUUUGCCGCCUGGGAAGUACGUACGCAAGUAUGAAACUUAAAGGAAUUGGCGGGGGAGCACCACAAGGGGUGAAGCCUGCGGUUCAAUUGGAGUC